AGUGAACGCUGGCGGUAGGCCUAACACAUGCAAGUCGAACGGCAGCACAGUAAGAGCUUGCUCUUACGGGAUGCGAGUCGUGGACGGUUGAGGAAUACAUCGGAAUCUACUUUUUCGUGGGGGACAACGUAGGGAAACUUACGCUAGUACCGCAUACGACCUACGGGUGAAAGCAGGGGAUCUUCGGACAUUGCGCGAUUGAAUGAGCCGAUGUCGGAUUAGCUAGUUGGCGGGGUAAAGGCCCACCAAGGCACCGAUCCGUAGCUGGUCUGAGAGGAUGGUCAGCCGCACUGGAACGGAGACACGGUUCAGACUCCGACGGUGGGCAGCAGUGGGGAAUUAUGGAAAAAGGUCGAAAGCCUGAUCCAGCCAUACCGCGAAAGUGAAGAAGGACUUCGGAUUUUAAAACCCUUUUGUUGAGAGAGAAGAGCAGCAGGAUAAUACCCCGCUAUUAUGACGGUACCCGAAGAAUAAGCACCGGCUAACUUCGUG
RNAcentral lists this ribosomal RNA (492 nucleotides) under uncultured bacterium. Its description in RNAcentral is "partial 16S ribosomal RNA". It matches the Rfam family "Bacterial small subunit ribosomal RNA", at positions 29 to 507 of the family's 1533-position model. The record is from RNAcentral.